GAAGUUUUCAGAGAUGAGAAUGUGCCUUCGGGAACCGUGAGACAGGUGCUGCAUGGCUGUCGUCAGCUCGUGUUGUGAAAUGUUGGGUUAAGUCCCGCAACGAGCGCAACCCUUAUCCUUUGUUGCCAGCGGUCCGGCCGGGAACUCAAAGGAGACUGCCAGUGAUAAACUGGAGGAAGGUGGGGAUGACGUCAAGUCAUCAUGGCCCUUACGACCAGGGCUACACACGUGCUACAAUGGCGCAUACAAAGAGAAGCGACCUCGCGAGAGCAAGCGGACCUCAUAAAGUGCGUCGUAGUCCGGAUUGGAGUCUGCAACUCGACUCCAUGAAGUCGGAAUCGCUAGUAAUCGUGGAUCAGAAUGCCACGGUGAAUACGUUCCCGGGCCUUGUACACACCGCCCGUCACACCAUGGGAGUGGGUUGCAAAAGAAGUAGGUAGCUUAACCUUCGGGAGGGCGCUUACCACUUUGUGAUUCAUGACUGGGGUGAAGUCGUAACAAGGUAACCGUAGGGGAACCUGCGGUUGGAUCACCUCCUUACCUUAAAGAAG
RNAcentral lists this ribosomal RNA (551 nucleotides) under Salmonella enterica subsp. enterica serovar Weltevreden. RNAcentral describes it as "bacterial SSU rRNA". It matches the Rfam family "Bacterial small subunit ribosomal RNA", at positions 993 to 1533 of the family's 1533-position model. The record is from RNAcentral. Lineage: Bacteria; Pseudomonadati; Pseudomonadota; Gammaproteobacteria; Enterobacterales; Enterobacteriaceae.